UACGGAGGGUGCGAGCGUUGUCCGGAAUCACUGGGCGUAAAGGGCGCGUAGGUGGCCUGUGGAAGUCUGCGGUGAAAGCCCGGCGCUCAACGCCGGGUCGGCCGUGGAUACUCUCGGGCUUGAGCUUACUAGAGGCAGAUGGAAUUCCGGGUGUAGCGGUGGAAUGCGUAGAGAUCCGGAAGAACACCGGUGGCGAAGGCGGUCUGCUGGGGUAAUGCUGACACUGAUGCGCGACAGCGUGGGGAGCGAACAGG
RNAcentral lists this ribosomal RNA (254 nucleotides) under uncultured bacterium. RNAcentral describes it as "partial 16S ribosomal RNA". It matches the Rfam family "Bacterial small subunit ribosomal RNA", at positions 524 to 776 of the family's 1533-position model. The record is from RNAcentral.